UCAGGACGAACGCUGGCGGCGUGCUUCAUACAUGCAAGUCGAACGAGAAGUCACCUUCGGGUGAUGGAAAGUGGCGGACGGGUGAGUAAUGUGUAGAGAAUCUGCCCUUAGUGGGGGACAACAGUUGGAAACGACUGCUAAUACCCCAUAUGCGCGUAGCUGAGAUGCUAUUCGUGAAAACUCCGGUGCUAAAGGAUGAGUCUGCAUCUGAUUAGCUAGUUGGCGGUGUAAUGGACCACCAAGGCGACGAUCAGUAGCUGGUUUGAGAGGAUGAUCAGCCACAAUGGGACUGAGACACGGCCCAUACUCCUACGGGAGGCAGCAGUAGGGAAUUUUGCGCAAUGGGGGAAACCCUGACGCAAGCAACGCCGCGUGAUUGAAUAAGCCCUUCGGGGUGUAAAGAUCUGUCAGUAGGGACGAAACUUGACGGUACCUACAGAGGAAGCAUCGGCUAACUCCGUGCCAGCAGCCGC
Molecule: ribosomal RNA, 473 nt
Filed under: uncultured bacterium
Lineage: Bacteria
Description: bacterial SSU rRNA
Rfam family: Bacterial small subunit ribosomal RNA
Source: RNAcentral